Molecule: small RNA, 28 nt
Filed under: Bombyx mori (domestic silkworm)
Lineage: Eukaryota; Metazoa; Arthropoda; Insecta; Lepidoptera; Bombycidae
Description: ovarian small RNA-36381
Source: RNAcentral
UUAAUAGAACUUCAAUUGAGUUUACGUG